This 3017-nucleotide long non-coding RNA is filed under the name Mus musculus (house mouse). Its description in RNAcentral is "long non-coding RNA chr5:150150610-150153627". The record is from RNAcentral. Lineage: Eukaryota; Metazoa; Chordata; Mammalia; Rodentia; Muridae.
UUGAGGUAGUCAACUUACAAAGAAAAAGUUCACUUUGAUGCAAGUGUAGGGGUGUGAUUGGCUGGCUUCCUAACUUCCUAAAGGUGUUGUUCUUUCCAGGCCCAGGAAGCCAGAGAGCAGUUAAGGACAGAAACAGGGUUCCAUGUAACCAGUGACUGAAGACCUGUGACUGGUACCCACCUCUUAGAACUUCUGCCAUUUCCAAAUAUCACCUCCCUGGAUAUCAGCUGUCUAAUACAUUGGUUUUGUGCUGACGUUUAAAAUCCAAAUUAUAGCCGUGCAGUGGUAGCUCACACCUUUAAUCCCAGCACUCGGGAGGUAGAGGCAGGCAGAUCUCUAAGUUCGAGGCCAGCCUGGUUUACAGAGUGAGUUCCAGGACAGCCAGGAACUCUGGCUUUCCAGAAACCCUGUCUCAAAACAAACAAAUAAACAAACAAUCCAAAUCAUAUAAAGGAGACAAAGAUCUUUUAGUAAGCGAUACAUUAGCUGGUUGUAGGACUGAGACCCAGCUGUGCUGGUCUCCUCAGCCAAGUCAUGUUGCUUUGAGGCAAGGACAGAAGAGCACUGUGGUAGUCUGGCUUGGCAGGAACAUGGCUGACUGCUGAGGGAGAUCAGGAGAGCUGCAUCACCGCUUUGUGUGCGCUGAUGACAUGUCAAAGUGGCGUCCUCUUAUAGCUAGAAUAACAGUAAUUAAUAACUAACAUCCUGGGUGCACACACCAAUGCACAGCCUCCUGGGGAAAGACAGUGUUAUCUUUGCAAGAAAGUGAGGCUCAGAAAUAUUAAUUAAAUGAUUUCCCCGAGUCACGUAGUAGUUAUCAGCCUCCACUCGAAGCACCUUCGUACCGUGUGUUAUGAAUUCAUGUGCUUGGCUGUCUUGUUUCCACACACUGUCAUGCAUGUAAAGUCAGAGCCCGUGGUAGGAUCCAUUAAGUGAAGAAUGCACAUCACCCAUGUGCAUGAGGGGAAUAAAGUCCACUGAACUAGAAGCUUCCAGAGUCUGAUGAAAUACUCCUACUUGCUUUGAUAAUUGUCCAGACCUAUGCUUGAGAGAACACGGAGAGAAAGAAAGACUGCACUAUCCCAAAGCCCUUCCAAAACAUAGCUGAUCUGUGUUGGCUGAAUUCACACACUUGGUCCCUCCCUCACUGAUGCGGGGUGUCUUCAAGCUGGAUUCACAGACUGCUAGUCCCCUACCUUGCAGACUCAGGGUGUCUUCAGGUGGGAAGCGCUUAUGGUGGUUGCCUUGUUGAACCUCCCAACUCUUCAAAACUGUGACUUAGCUGAGAGGCUCCAAGAACAUGUUCUUGAAUGUGAGAGACUCGGAGAUUUUUUUUUUAAAUGUCACUUUUUCUACGCCUGAAGCUUUGAGGGAGGAGCAGAUGUGAAUACUUGGAUUCCUAUUCGACAGUCACAAUGAACACGUUUGAAGGGGAUGCCAGACAAACGGACAAGGGUGGGCCCAACGAUAAACUGGUAAGCCGAGUGAGCAUGCACAAUUGUGUGUGAUGGGAACAGGUGGGCAAGCUGCAGGCCACUGAAUAGAAAGGCCACUGAAGGCUUGCAUGUCUGUGCAGAGUAAGCCCUCGACAUCGCUCACCCCUCCCCCUCGCUCACACCGUGGGAGGUGCCGGGAGGUCCUUCGAGGACACUCGGCCCUUCUCAUUCCAUCCAUAGCAUGGCAUUUGUUUAAACAGAGCGUGAGAAUGGAAGGGAGGGAGAGAUGGACACACAACUGCUCCUCCUUUCCUACCCAGGAGGCUUCACGGCUUUUCCUGCUGUAACCUUACCCCUACCCCAUAAACCUCAGCUCCGGAGACCAGUCUCAGAAACGCACUCUGUACAAGGGCUGAGGUUAGCUGUGCUGCUCCGGUGCUGUUCUCAGCAUCCUUGGGAGGGGAGCACAUAGCACCCUCAAGUGAUGUGCUGCCCCUGUCUCCUCUUCUACUUGCUGAGGCCAAGGCUCAGAGAAGCGUGAAUGGCCUGAGCUCACAGACCCAAUAGAGGAGCCGAGGCUCAGGUCCAAGUCCUCUUACCACCCUCUAGCUCAGACUUUUUGCCUUUGUCCUCGGCUUUCUUGGCCACAGAACCCUGGCUUCCACGUCCUCCCUGUGCUCAGUCCUCCUGCCAAAUUCUCCCCAAUUCCCACAGUGUUUGAGCUGACUGUCUUCGACGAGACUUGCCAGUUUUAACAGCGUAUUAUCAUCAUUUAUACAACACGGGGCAUGCAAGCAGAGUUUUGGGGGGUUUUGGUUUUUUUUUUUUUUUUUUUUUUUGCUCCUUGGCACUGUGUCUCCCAUGGUGCCACUUGUGAGGUCUGCCAUCUGCAGACAAGAAGCAGGAGGUGCCUCUGACGAGAGCUGUUGGGAAUCAAGGAUGUUCUGGAGUACACAUUUGCUGACAGUCAGAGCUGAGAACGAUGGGUUCCUGGGUUUGUUAAAUUCGAGCAGAUCCCUGCUCGGUCCUGCCCAUCUGUCCACCCCCCACCCCACACGUCUGCGCCUCAACCUCCCAGGACCUCUGCUGCUCAGGAGUUGCGAGUGUCACACUUUUGUCAGAAUUCUUGUUCAAUCUGUUUCCUGUUGGCAGAGUUGAAGCUUCCACGGAUCCUUGACGGCAGAUGGCAGGGCUACCUCUGCCUCAUUUCCCUCCACAGUCACACCGAAAGAUCAUCUUGAUGUCAGCUGUUCUUGAAUGACACAGACUGACACACCACACGGACUUCAAAACGCUGUGUGAAAUGCUCUCCUAGGCUGUUAAUCCUGCCAGGAAUGCCCACUCCCCUGUCCUUCUGUCUGUCAAAUCCCUCUGUCUGUCUCUGUAAGGGUCUGAAAAUCUUGAUGAAUGAAGACCCCAGACUCAGAUAGUAUUCAAAAUCAAAGAGUGUUUAUUCUGCAGAAAUAUCCAACAUGCUGGGGAGGGAGAUCAACCAUUCUCUAAAAUGGCGGCCAUAGACAAAGGCGCAUAGGCAGGCCUUCAUAUAGGGAACCAGAGGAACUCUGUCGGAUUAGGUAAUCU